CUUUAAUGUAUGUAAACAUUUCAAAUGUCUUAUUCAAAAAGGUGAGGAGAUGUAUAAUUUGAUUAUCAACUGACUGAAGUCUACCAUUAUCUUAAGCUGGAAGCUCAUAGUAGUUAAAUUCUUUGUACCAGGUACUGAUUCCAGUGCUGUGCAUUUACUAAUUCACUUAAUCCUCACAGAAACUUUACAAAAUAGAUUCCAUUACUUAUUCCUAUUUACAGAUGAGGAAAUUGAAGCAAAGGACUUUCCUAAUGAUCAUAUAGCUGUGGGUGACAGAGCCAGCAUGCAAAACCAGGUCAUUUGGAUUUAGAGGCAUUGCAUUUAACCUGUACUUUUAAGCAUCUAGGGUGGCAUCUGGUUCUAGAAUAAAGGUUGAGAAUCAUUUUUCUGUAAAGGACCAGAUAGUAAAUAUGGGACUGUGGCCAAGAGGAAAAAUUGAGAUUAUUGUGGAAAGUAAGUAAAUGGAGAGAAAACAGAUUUCUACAAAAUUUUUGAUGAAUUCAAGACAUAAUAAUUGAGAAUAUUUUUUUCUGUUUUUAAAAUAUGACUCUACCAAUGAGAAGAAUUAAAUGACUUUGGGAGUAUCCUUUCUCUUAACUGUAGUUCAAAGUUAGUAUGUCCUAUCAUCAAAAUGAUAGGGACUGGCAAGCUGGGGUUGUGGUUCAGUGGUAGAAUGUUUUUCUCCCAUGCGUGAGGCACUGGGUUCGAUCCUCAGAACCACAUAAAUAAAAUAAAGGUAUUGUGCCCAUCUACAACUAAAAAAAAAAAUCUUUUUUAAAAAAAAUGAUAAGGACUGUGAUGUAGAUCAGUGGUGUAUGUAUGAAGCUGUAGGUUCAGUCCUAACAGUGAAAAAAAAUUUUUAUCGUAGGUAUUCAUCUGCUAAUGCUAAUUUGAAAGAUUUUACAUAUUUCAUCUUUUCUUAAAAGUAGGUAUUAUCAAAUACUUAAAUUAAUCCAUGAGAAUAUUAUUUUUGUUGGUCAUAUCUAUCACUUGGAAGGAAGGCAUUGAUAGAAUUAGGUUAUUUUAUUUCUCUUGAUAUUUUUCUUUUAGCAUGUUAUUACAUUGUAGAUUAAUCACUUCCAAUUGAAGAUUAAGUGGAAACUCCUCUUUGG
This 1112-nucleotide long non-coding RNA is filed under the name Marmota monax (woodchuck). Lineage: Eukaryota; Metazoa; Chordata; Mammalia; Rodentia; Sciuridae. The record is from RNAcentral.